UCUUUUUAAAAUUGAGUUAUUUUGUUUUCAACCCUUGGUUUUACAUCAAAUGGUGGUUGAGCAUGAAUUUCACGAUCAGUGGCUGACCGUGUGAACGAGACUGAUCAAUUGAAUCGCAGUACUCACUCUCAGCAGAUAAUGGGGAAGAAUACCAAAUCCUUAAGCCUUUUAGUGUGAUGUGAUGAAUCUUAGGGAAAAUGCUAGAAGCUCAUUGGCUAUAAAUAGAGCCUCAGGACUUAGAAACUUGCAGUGGAGGGAGUGAGAUCAGUUAUAGUAGUAGUAUAGUACUACUGAGAAAGGUUCCUGCUGGUUUCAUAUCCCUUGUAGUUUUAUAAUACGGAAGAAAGGUCCUACAUGAGGAUACAGAGCUUGUUUUGUAGCCAAGGAUGACUUGCCUGCAGCCUCCCAAGGGGUCUCGACGUAUUUAUAUACGAUACCAACGUAGCAAAAUUGAGAUAAAAAUAGAGAACAAAUUGGUAUCAGAAGCGAUCCUUAUGUGGUAUACAGGCAAGUCUCCUUGGUUAUCAUGACAGGCUCUUCUCUCUCAUGCUGGACCUAUUCUUCCAUGGCUUGAGAGCAACAACCGCCCCCCGUCGAGAUAAGUUUCUAAAUCAACUCGCAGAACAGCAGCCAUGCAGGAAUUUGAACAUGGGAAUUGUCAUCCCCACUCUUCCAGAUGAAUCGCAGAAGCAAUGUGGUAGAUAUAUUUAUAUGGUCUGGUUGCCUCUUAUUAUAAAACAAAGUUAGUAUACGAUCCGACCGGUGAAGUUGGACAGUUUUUGUUCUACUCUAACUAUAAAUUCCAUAGCAGUGCUUGCCCUCUUAUACAACAGAGCAUUACCGAUACUGUGGGAUGAGGCGAGGACCAGAACUCCAGAAGAUGAGGUAUGAGGUAGACGUCUACUCGCGCCUCAACAACAGGUGGUGGCCAUGAAGAGUUGGCUACAGGUUUACUAUAAGCAAGCUUAAACAGCAGGGUUUCGUCAAUUUAAAUGUGAUUAGCAUCUGUGAUUAAGAUGCAGAGAUGUGUUUGAUUCCGUCAUGAUCAGAUCGCACGCUCGUAAGAACGUGACGCAUCAAUCACCAGAAUCAGCAAAAUAUUGCAGUACCACAUUCCCGAAUGCAGUAUUCGGUGUUAUGUGGCUAUGAGGGCUUCGAGUGCAUCUUUUUUAUCAAUGAGCAAAUUAGACGGUUUCAUACCCUCUAGUGUAACAAAUACAGUGGUAUCAGUCAUCACAAUCACGAUCAGGCAGAUCAGCCAACAAACGCUAAAUCCGAACAGUCCCAAAAGCCAUAUCCCUAAUUUUCAAAGGAUAAUGUACAACCUAGACUGGUAGGAGAAUUGCUGUUUUCAAUUAGUCCUGAUCGAUUCAUCCUACUGCACCAUUUGUGAAAUCUAAGCAUUUCAAAGUUUCAAGUACCGCGCAGGGUGAUAGAUUCGUUCGCACAAGCAGAAGAAACGCACAACCGUGGUGCUAUUGGAUAGCAGACCACAAAGGACAGAUUUAAGAUAGAACUGAAGUGCUUACAGGGUAUCCAUGUUUUUCAUUAGUAAUCUGAUGACUAUGCUUUGGAACCAAUCAAAACCCUCAAACAACUAAGGUGCUUACUGACUAUGGUAAAACUGCAUGCGUUUUAAAAGCGAAAGGUUUUUAUUUUUUCUAUGAUACGGUCUAGUCGCCUGUUAGUACAUAAACAAUGUGUCUAACUUGUAAAGUUGGAUAGUUUUUGUUCUACUCUAAAUCCAUAGUAGUGCUUGCCCUGAAACUAACCUCAAAGUCCAAUUGCCGCAGGUAAACGAUCAUGUUACCCAGACACCAGAGCAUUUAUCAAUAGUGUGAUGAGGUGAGGAAGGACAAGAAGAUGGGCUAUGAGGUAAAAGGCAAAGCCUUAACAAGGAUAGUUGUUGCAUGGUCAUGAAGAGUGGACUACAGAAUUAGAAUAAGCAAAGUGAAGGGUUCCAGCCAUUCUAAUGUAACAAAAAAAACAAACUAGCAACUUAUAUUAAUAUGCAGAACUGUGUUUGAUUCCGCUAUGAUCACAAAUCAUACUCAUGUAAGGGAUCAUGACAUUUGAAUCAUCACAAUCAGCAACAUAUCAUUAUUCUACAACAAUCCCAAAUCCAAUGUUAGUUGGUUAUGAGGACUUCGACUACAUAUAUUGAUAUAUACAAAUGAGCUAAGACAGUUUCAUCCCCUCUAAUGUAACACAAGUAGAAGUGGUAUCGGUCAUCAAAUUACAGGUAUGUUCAAUUCUGUUAUGCUCAAUCUUACUCAUGUAAGAGAUUAAGAGAACAUGGCACCAUCACCAUCAACCACAAACUAUUACACUAUCCCCAGCAGUUCAAAUGCAAUUUUGUAAGGAUAGUGUAUAACCUAGACUGGUAUCUACUCUAUCAGUCCUCAUGAAAUUAUUCUACAGAAUUUUAGACCAUUUGUGAAAUCUAAGAGUUUCAAAUUUUUAAAGUACCAAGCAGGGCGAUACAAUCAUCUGUACAAGCAUAAGAACAGAAUGACCACGCUGCUAUUAGAUAGAAGACCUUAAAGCAAUGAUUCUAGGCUAUAAGAGUACUAAAGUGCUAAAAGGCUAUCCGUGUUUUGAUCAGUAGUCAGAUGACCAAACUUUGGAACCUUAAAUGACCAACUAAAAUCCUCCAACAGAUAGGGUGCUCAGUGACAGUGGAACAUUGCAUGCGUUUUAUUCUAAUUGAAAUUAUCAAUCUAUAGGUCUACACAGCAUUAUCCAGUUACCAUUUCAACAUUCAAACUCCAAAUAUGUAUACGUCACAUUAAAAAACAUUUACAAGACA
Long non-coding RNA from Argentina anserina (silverweed cinquefoil), 2809 nucleotides. RefSeq lists it as uncharacterized. Lineage: Eukaryota; Viridiplantae; Streptophyta; Magnoliopsida; Rosales; Rosaceae. The record is from RefSeq and is a predicted model, not a curated record. The transcript is spliced from 3 exons.